Molecule: small nucleolar RNA, 134 nt
Organism: Oncorhynchus tshawytscha (Chinook salmon)
Lineage: Eukaryota; Metazoa; Chordata; Actinopteri; Salmoniformes; Salmonidae
Source: Ensembl
UCAGAGACUCAGAGUCUCAUCUUGACAAACACCAUUGUCUUGGUGUGCUAGAGUUCUCUAAGAGUGAAGACUGGUCCUAUUCACCGACUGGCCUCUCUCUCAUAGGCUAGUCACCCACAUGGGCAGUUACAAGU